GAUGAACGCUGGCGGCGUGCUUAACACAUGCAAGUCGAACGAAGCUGCCUGGAGGAAGUUUUCGGAUGGAAUUUAGGUAGACUUAGUGGCGGACGGGUGAGUAACGCGUGGAUAACCUGCCUUAUACAGGGGGAUAACGGAGAGAAAUUUCCGCUAACACCGCAUAAGACCACAGCACCGCAUGGUGCAGGGGUAAAAUAUUUAUAGGUAUAAGAUGGAUCCGCGUCCGAUUAGCUAGUUGGUGAGGUAAAGGCCCUCCAAGGCGACGAUCGGUAGCCGGCCUGAGGGGGUGAACGGCCACAUUGGGACUGAGACACGGCCCAAACUCCUACGGGAGGCAGCAGUGGGGAAUAUUGGACAAUGGGGGAAACCCUGAUCCAGCGACGCCGCGUGAGUGAAGAAGUAUUUCGGUAUGUAAAGCUCUAUCAGCAGGGAAGAAAAUGACGGUACCUGACUAAGAAGCCCCGGCUAACUACGUGCCAGCAGCCGCGGUAAUACGUAGGGGGCAAGCGUUAUCCGGAUUUACUGGGUGUAAAGGGAGCGCAGACGGCAAUGCAAGUCUGAAGUGAAAGGCGUGGGCUCAACCCACGAACUGCUUUGGAAACUGUAUAGCUUGAGUGUCGGAGGGGUAAGCGGAAUUCCUAGUGUAGCGGUGAAAUGCGUAGAUAUUAGGAGGAACACCGGAGGCGAAGGCGGCUUACUGGACGACAACUGACGUUGAGGCUCGAGGGCGUGAGGAGCAAACAGG
This 748-nucleotide ribosomal RNA is filed under the name uncultured Lachnospiraceae bacterium. Its description in RNAcentral is "bacterial SSU rRNA". It matches the Rfam family "Bacterial small subunit ribosomal RNA", at positions 28 to 776 of the family's 1533-position model. Lineage: Bacteria; Bacillati; Bacillota; Clostridia; Lachnospirales; Lachnospiraceae. The record is from RNAcentral.